RNAcentral lists this ribosomal RNA (197 nucleotides) under uncultured bacterium. RNAcentral's name for it is "partial 16S ribosomal RNA". It matches the Rfam family "Bacterial small subunit ribosomal RNA", at positions 521 to 717 of the family's 1533-position model. The record is from RNAcentral.
UAAUACAGAGGGUGCGAGCGUUAAUCGGAAUUACUGGGCGUAAAGCGCACGUAGGUGGCGACGUAAGUCGGGUGUGAAAUCCCUGGGCUCAACCUGGGAACGGCAUUCGAGACUGUGUUGCUGGAGUACGGAAGAGGAGGGCGGAAUUCCCGGUGUAGCGGUGAAAUGCGUAGAUAUCGGGAGGAACAUCAGUGGCG